RNAcentral lists this ribosomal RNA (406 nucleotides) under uncultured bacterium. Its description in RNAcentral is "partial 16S ribosomal RNA". It matches the Rfam family "Bacterial small subunit ribosomal RNA", at positions 30 to 526 of the family's 1533-position model. The record is from RNAcentral.
AUUGAACGCUGGCGACAGGCCUAACACAUGCACGUAGAACGAGUGGCGGACGGGUGAGUAAUGUCUGGGAAACUGCCUGAAGGCGGGGGAUAACGACUGGAAACGGUAGCUAAUACCGCAUACCAUCAGAUGUGUCCAGAUGGGAUUAGCUUGUUGGUGGGGUAACGGCUCACCAAGGCGACGAUCCCUAGCUGGUAUGAGAGGAUGACCAGCCACACUGGAACGUAGACACGGUCCAGACACAUACGGGAGGCAUCAGUGGUGGAUAUUGCACAAGGGGCGCAAGCCUGAUGCAGCCAUGCCGCGUGUAUGAAGAAGGCCAUCGGGUUGUAAAGUACUUUCAGCGGGGAGGCGUUACCCGCAGAAGAAGCACCGGCUAACUCCGUGCCAGCAGCCGCGGUAAUAC